AACUGAAUAAGGAAGACUUUUUUUUCUUGCUUUAUUAAAAUGUAGAUUUAUGUAGUCUAUAUAGUUAAUAGCACAAAGUUAAUUUGGAACUAAAACUCUGUUUAGGUGAACAUGAAGAGUAUGGCAACAAUUCAAGGAAAACAAGUUGAUGAACAUAAAGGUUCACAAAGAAGUUGAGGCAUCUUGAGGUGCCAAUAUGUGAUUGUGUGACAGCAGACAGGAAAAUGACUGCAAAUGAGAAUACGGAGGCGAAGAGGGUUGGAGUAAGAGUUCCAGAUGUUUCGACAGCUUACUAGAAAGAAAUGGACUGACGGAAUGCUUCUUAAUUUUCCAGUUUCAUCAAAGAGGUUUACAGAUACAAAACAAAGAAAUGAAGAUGUGUAAGACAAUACCUACAUUCAUCCUGCUGCUUACAGGGUAUUUUGUUAAAAAUAUGCAUGUUCAUGCAACAGAUCCAACACUAUUAUUGCAAACUACUUCCAGUGUCACAGAAGCUUCUCACCAAGAAACAGCAACAGCUGAUUCAAAACCAGUAACAACCGGACCAGAAAAUGAGUCGAGUCCCGUUCCAGAAGAACGUUUGUCAUCUACAGUAGUGGCAGGAACCAGCAUUUCCCUUGUGAUCAUCUUGAUAUGUGUAAUUGCUUUUUUUUGGUUCAAAUGGAAAUCGUCUAAGGAAAGUUCAGCUGAAAUUAAUUCUGACCCCUCCAGUGAAGCUGUGGUGACCUUAAAAAAUACCAAGUUAUGA
Molecule: long non-coding RNA, 748 nt
Filed under: Cairina moschata (Muscovy duck)
Lineage: Eukaryota; Metazoa; Chordata; Aves; Anseriformes; Anatidae
Description: domestica (muscovy Duck (domestic type)) lncRNA (ENSCMMG00000002264.1)
Source: RNAcentral